GACAGAGGGUGCAAACGUUGCUCGGAAUCACUGGGCGUAAAGGGCGUGUAGGCGGCCAUCUAAGUCAGACGUGAAAUCCCCCGGCUUAACCUGGGAACUGCGUCUGAUACUGGAAGGCUUGAGUAUGGGAGAGGGAUGUAGAAUUCCAGGUGUAGCGGUGAAAUGCGUAGAUAUCUGGAGGAAUACCGGUGGCGAAGGCGGCAUCCUGGACCAUUACUGACGCUGAGGCGCGAAAGCUAGGGGAGCAAACGGG
RNAcentral lists this ribosomal RNA (253 nucleotides) under uncultured bacterium. RNAcentral describes it as "partial 16S ribosomal RNA". It matches the Rfam family "Bacterial small subunit ribosomal RNA", at positions 524 to 776 of the family's 1533-position model. The record is from RNAcentral.